CGGUUUCGGAGUGCGGCCCCCGGCACCGGGAAAGUCCCCGGGGCGCCCCGCACCCAGGCCCUCUCUCCCCAGCCCGGGCGGUCACGUUCGGCAGGUACAAAUGGACAAAGUCCCAGGUCCUGCUGCUGUCUUCAUUCAUAAUUGAGGAAAUGAUGAGAAAACUGAGGCUCAGAGAAGGUAAUGGCUGAAGCACCCAGACUUCCAGGGCUGCCGAUGGAUCAGAUGGGUGAAUUUGAUCACUUGCAGACAGGUGCAGUUGCCCCUCUUCUUACUUAUUUAUUUAUUUAUUUGUGACAGAGUCUUGCUCUGU
Long non-coding RNA from Sapajus apella (tufted capuchin), 310 nucleotides. RefSeq lists it as uncharacterized. The transcript has 3 exons. The record is from RefSeq and is a predicted model, not a curated record. NCBI's taxonomy places the organism in Eukaryota, Metazoa, Chordata, Mammalia, Primates, Cebidae.